Carya illinoinensis is the source of this 534-nucleotide long non-coding RNA. RefSeq lists it as uncharacterized. NCBI's taxonomy places the organism in Eukaryota, Viridiplantae, Streptophyta, Magnoliopsida, Fagales, Juglandaceae. The record is from RefSeq and is a predicted model, not a curated record. The transcript is spliced from 3 exons.
GUUCUCUUCCGAUCUGGAAAAGGACGCUCACUUGACUCCAAGACUGCAGAUUCCGGUGGGACGCAGAGAGUGAAGUAUGAGUGAAAACGACGGAGAAAAUCCCCGCGACCGUCCAGGUCCUGUCCCCCGCCCCCGCCCGACUGACUCUGACUAUACCAAACUUCCGCAGCCACGAGCCAACAAGAUCAAGGGGAUGAUCUUCAAUGACCUGUUCAAAGGCACAGCGCCGGCCGCUGCCUCCGCUAGCCGUUGAUGAUACCAGCUUCUUCUGUGCUAUCAUGGUGAUGGUUAUGGUUUUUUUUGGUUUUUAAUUUUUUGUGUGUGUGGGGGGGGGGGGGGGGGGGGGGGUUUACUGGGCUUGAGCCUUUUUGGCAGUGUAAGCAAGUACUUUGCUACUAUCUGUUCAAAAAGUAGUGCGAAUUAAUGUCUUUUUUUAAUCAUUGAUGCUCUGUUUUGUGAUCUUGUGCUUCAACUUUGAUGUUUUGAGAUAUGGGCAUUUGAUCACCGGAGAAAUAUACAGGUUGAAUUCUUAAA